This 518-nucleotide ribosomal RNA is filed under the name uncultured Entrophospora. RNAcentral's name for it is "SSU rRNA". It matches the Rfam family "Eukaryotic small subunit ribosomal RNA", at positions 569 to 1082 of the family's 1831-position model. The record is from RNAcentral. Lineage: Eukaryota; Fungi; Glomeromycota; Glomeromycetes; Entrophosporales; Entrophosporaceae.
AGCAGCCGCGGUAAUUCCAGCUCCAAUAGCGUAUAUUAAAGUUGUUGCAGUUAAAAAGCUCGUAGUUGAAUUUCGGGAUUGGCGUGUCGGUCGUGCCCUAAGGGGUAUGAACUGGCAUCGUUGAUUCUCACCUUCUGGAGAAUCACGAUGCCCUUAAUUGGGUGUCGUGUGGAUCCAGGACCUUUACCUUGAAAAAAUUAGAGUGUUUAAAGCAGGCAUUAUUGCUCGAAUACAUUAGCAUGGAAUAAUAAAAUAGGACGGCUUGGUUCUAUUUUGUUGGUUUCUAGGAUCACCGUAAUGAUUAAUAGGGAUAGUUGGGGGCAUUAGUAUUCAAUUGUCAGAGGUGAAAUUCUUGGAUUUAUUGAAGACUAACUACUGCGAAAGCAUUUGCCAAGGAUGUUUUCAUUAAUCAAGAACGAAAGUUAGGGGAUCGAAGACGAUCAGAUACCGUCGUAGUCUUAACCAUAAACUAUGCCGACUAGGAAUCAGACGAUGUUAAUUUUUUAAUGACUCGUUUG